Molecule: long non-coding RNA, 153 nt
Organism: Telopea speciosissima
Lineage: Eukaryota; Viridiplantae; Streptophyta; Magnoliopsida; Proteales; Proteaceae
Exons: 5
Source: RefSeq, a predicted model, not a curated record
UCCAAAUCCAUAUCGUCGUCCUCUUCAAAGGGUUUCAGAAGAAAAUCCCUAUUUGAACCUGAACAAAGGUUAAGCUGAUUUUCUGUUUCAUGGCCAUGGGUCCCUGUAAUUCUCACAGAGGUGAAGAUUUCCUAAGGGCUGAAGGCAGGGGAA